AAGGGAGGAAAAGAGAGAGAGAGAAAGGAGAGCAGGAGGAAUCUGAUAGGCCACCUGGGAGUGGUGUAACAGAGAGUUGUGGCUUGGCAAGAGGAGGAGGAAGAGAGAGGGAGGAGAGAGAGGAAAGAGAAGAGAGAAAGAGAGAGUAGUAAAUAUAAAGUGUAAAUAAUGAAUUUAGGUGAAUUUAGGUCAGAUGGUGGACUGGAGGAGACUGGGAGAGGCAGGCUGGGAGAUGAUGGACUGGGAGAGACUGGGAGAGGCAGGCUGGGAGAUGAUGGACUGGAAGAGACUGGGAGAGGCAGGCUGGAAGAGACUGGGAGAGGCAGGCUAGGAGAUGAUGGACUGGGAGAGACUGGGAGAGGCAGGCUGGGAGAUGAUGGACUGGAAGAGACUGGGAGAGGCAGGCUGGGAGAUGAUGGACUGGAAGAGACUGGGAGAGGCAUGCUGGGAGAUGAUGGACUGGAAGAGACUGGGAGAGG
Long non-coding RNA from Oncorhynchus tshawytscha (Chinook salmon), 479 nucleotides. The record is from Ensembl. Lineage: Eukaryota; Metazoa; Chordata; Actinopteri; Salmoniformes; Salmonidae.